RNAcentral lists this ribosomal RNA (260 nucleotides) under uncultured Synechococcus sp. Its description in RNAcentral is "partial 16S ribosomal RNA". It matches the Rfam family "Bacterial small subunit ribosomal RNA", at positions 1277 to 1533 of the family's 1533-position model. Lineage: Bacteria; Bacillati; Cyanobacteriota; Cyanophyceae; Synechococcales; Synechococcaceae. The record is from RNAcentral.
UAAACCGUGGCUCAGUUCAGAUCGUAGGCUGCAACUCGCCUACGUGAAGGAGGAAUCGCUAGUAAUCGCAGGUCAGCAUACUGCGGUGAAUACGUUCCCGGGCCUUGUACACACCGCCCGUCACACCACGGAAGUUGGCCACGCCCGAAGCCGUUACUCCAACCCUUGUGGAGGAGGACGUCGAAGGUGGGGCUGAUGACUGGGGUGAAGUCGUAACAAGGUAGCCGUACCGGAAGGUGCGGCUGGAUCACCUCCUAACA